AGCCAAGACCAGUGCAGCCCAGUCAGACACUCUGUAUUCUACCUUAAAGCCAUUGAAGACUACAGAUAACAGUGAAGAUGACGAUGACCCCAAUGAUGUGACAUAUUCAGAGGUUACCAUCAAGAACAAGAUGGGAAAGAAACACGGUUCUGCUGGUCCCAGUGAUGUCACAUACGCUGAUGUGCACAUCAAGAUGAAGCCUCUGAAGAGUACAGCCAAACCAACUUCCCCUAAAGAAGACACCAUUUACUCAUCCAUCAAUCAUCAAGCUUCAUCAGAUGCAGGAUCUGGUGAUGCAACCUAUGCACAAGUUAGGAAGAAAGGCAAGAAGCCUAAAACCCAAGAUGACUGAGUCAUGGACAUGUGAGACCAGUACAUUGCCCAUGCCUGCUCCUGUAAUGAUGUAAUGAUGUAACAAAGAGAUAUUAUAGAUAGCCAAAUGAGAUUUGGACUGGGAUUAUGGAUUUGGUUAUGGAAUAGUUGUGCCAGUAAAAUGACCAGUCAUUGCCUGA
Long non-coding RNA from Engraulis encrasicolus (European anchovy), 512 nucleotides. RefSeq lists it as uncharacterized. The record is from RefSeq and is a predicted model, not a curated record. Lineage: Eukaryota; Metazoa; Chordata; Actinopteri; Clupeiformes; Engraulidae. The transcript has 6 exons.